RNAcentral lists this ribosomal RNA (1205 nucleotides) under Escherichia coli. RNAcentral's name for it is "partial 23S ribosomal RNA". It matches the Rfam family "Bacterial large subunit ribosomal RNA", at positions 957 to 2145 of the family's 2925-position model. The record is from RNAcentral. Lineage: Bacteria; Pseudomonadati; Pseudomonadota; Gammaproteobacteria; Enterobacterales; Enterobacteriaceae.
CGAAUACCGGAGAAUGUUAUCACGGGAGACACACGGCGGGUGCUAACGUCCGUCGUGAAGAGGGAAACAACCCAGACCGCCAGCUAAGGUCCCAAAGUCAUGGUUAAGUGGGAAACGAUGUGGGAAGGCCCAGACAGCCAGGAUGUUGGCUUAGAAGCAGCCAUCAUUUAAAGAAAGCGUAAUAGCUCACUGGUCGAGUCGGCCUGCGCGGAAGAUGUAACGGGGCUAAACCAUGCACCGAAGCUGCGGCAGCGACGCUUAUGCGUUGUUGGGUAGGGGAGCGUUCUGUAAGCCUGUGAAGGUGUGCUGUGAGGCAUGCUGGAGGUAUCAGAAGUGCGAAUGCUGACAUAAGUAACGAUAAAGCGGGUGAAAAGCCCGCUCGCCGGAAGACCAAGGGUUCCUGUCCAACGUUAAUCGGGGCAGGGUGAGUCGACCCCUAAGGCGAGGCCGAAAGGCGUAGUCGAUGGGAAACAGGUUAAUAUUCCCGUACUUGGUGUUACUGCGAAGGGGGGACGGAGAAGGCUAUGUUGGCCGGGCGACGGUUGUCCCGGUUUAAGCGUGUAGGCUGGUUUUCCAGGCAAAUCCGGAAAAUCAAGGCUGAGGCGUGAUGACGAGGCACUACGGUGCUGAAGCAACAAAUGCCCUGCUUCCAGGAAAAGCCUCUAAGCAUCAGGUAACAUCAAAUCGUACCCCAAACCGACACAGGUGGUCAGGUAGAGAAUACCAAGGCGCUUGAGAGAACUCGGGUGAAGGAACUAGGCAAAAUGGUGCCGUAACUUCGGGAGAAGGCACGCUGAUAUGUAGGUGAAGUCCCUCGCGGAUGGAGCUGAAAUCAGUCGAAGAUACCAGCUGGCUGCAACUGUUUAUUAAAAACACAGCACUGUGCAAACACGAAAGUGGACGUAUACGGUGUGACGCCUGCCCGGUGCCGGAAGGUUAAUUGAUGGGGUCAGCGCAAGCGAAGCUCUUGAUCGAAGCCCCGGUAAACGGCGGCCGUAACUAUAACGGUCCUAAGGUAGCGAAAUUCCUUGUCGGGUAAGUUCCGACCUGCACGAAUGGCGUAAUGAUGGCCAGGCUGUCUCCACCCGAGACUCAGUGAAAUUGAACUCGCUGUGAAGAUGCAGUGUACCCGCGGCAAGACGGAAAGACCCCGUGAACCUUUACUAUAGCUUGACACUGAACAUUGAGCCUUGAUGUGUAGGAUA